Molecule: long non-coding RNA, 208 nt
Organism: Herpailurus yagouaroundi (jaguarundi)
Lineage: Eukaryota; Metazoa; Chordata; Mammalia; Carnivora; Felidae
Exons: 2
Source: RefSeq, a predicted model, not a curated record
CUGCGUCAUUCACCUCACUUCAUCUUAUCACGUAGGCGUUUUAUCUCCCAUCAUCACAACAAGAAGACAGCUGCUUGUGGUCAACCACAGUCUGGAAGCAGAUGAUCUCUUGAUGUGUCAUAGCCUAACACUACAUCACAAAGCCUACGUCAUUCACCUCACUUCAUCUCAUCACUUCAGUGUGUUAUCUCACAUCAUCACAAGAAGG